This 251-nucleotide ribosomal RNA is filed under the name uncultured bacterium. Its description in RNAcentral is "partial 16S ribosomal RNA". It matches the Rfam family "Bacterial small subunit ribosomal RNA", at positions 1250 to 1500 of the family's 1533-position model. The record is from RNAcentral.
CUAAGCAGUGAUGUGGAGCAAAACCCUAAAAACCGAAUCUCAGUUCGGAUUGAAGUCUGAAAUUCGACUUCAUGAAGCUGGAAUUGCUAGUAAUGGCAGGUCAGCAUACUGCCGUGAAUACGUUCCCGGGCCUUGUACACACCGCCCGUCACACCAUGAGAGUUGGGAAUACCCGAAGCCUGUGAGCUAACUUUUAGAGGCAGCAGUCGAAGGUAGAAUCAAUGAUUGGGGUGAAGUCGUAACAAGGUAAC